AGAUGACAUGUUUCAUGAUUUGGCGCUAUAUAAAUAAAACUGAAUUGAAUUGAAUUCUGUUCGGAAACAGAGACAAAAGUGCUAUUAGUAUUCUUAUCAAACUCCCAUUGAUGUGUCAUUUAUUAAAAACGUCCUUCAAAUACUUUCACAUCCAAGAUAUUCUUGUGCACAAUUAUUUAGCUCUUAGCUUAAAAUUCUGCACUGUAAUUAUUACUUCCUGCAUGACUUAUAUUAAAGGAGAAAUCUUAAAGUUCAAAUCUGCAGCAGUUUCUAUCCGUAAUUCUUAACCAAAUUCCUCUAAUGUGUGUCUCACCUUUCAAUGUCUGACAGUUGAAAGUUCUCUGCAACAUCAUUUUAUCAUCUUAUUCAUUUCAUGGCUACUGUGUCAAGGUUCAUCUCACCUCAUUUAAUGCACAGUCUCAACAAAGAAUUGUUGAUAGGGUUAUGAUAAAUAACCCCUUAUUAUCCUACAAAGAAAACCACACAAACACAAGUUUAGACUGUUCUGCAGAAGAGGGCCGAUCAGCCAAAUGGAGAACCACGCUCCCUGACAGUCUGGCUCAUCUGCCCCGAGCCACCUCUUUCUCUCUGCCUUUAUUAUCAACUUCGAAGAAGGGACAGGGGGGUUCGGGAAUUUAUAACAUGGCAGUCGGCACACAAAGAGGUGUAGGAUUGACAUACACAGCUGGAUAAGGCAAGACAUUUUUUAUCUGGGAGAAGCAUUUGUUCUUCCUGUGUGAAGUUAAAACAAUAGAACUUUCCUGCAAGCCAGCUCUUGGAACAGACUAAAUGCAUGUAACUUAAUGAAAAUAAAAUUAUUGCAUUCGCACUAACAAUUGUAUUAAAACCUUUCGGAAACUUCUUGCUGCACCAGCUCUAAAAUACUUCACGUUUCUGAAAACCCCGAACAGUAAGCCCUUAAGUUUGUAAAAGAAUACUCCACUCUGUAUUUACAGAAUUCCAUUGUGAUUUUAAUCAGAAGCAUUCCUACAUAUCUUCUGUCUUAUUUUGAAAAGCUCAGCUGAGAAAAAGGAAGUGUGUACCUGCCCCAGAGCACACCAAGUCGUAAUUGGUUGAUAUUCAGGAAGUAGGUGUAGCCUAGGGAGGAGACAGGAAGUAGUUAUGUGAAUCAGUUUCAGCUUAAUGUGCAUCAAACCAGACUUCUACUGAACACUCCUUUUGCCUAGAGCGAAGAGCAAUUCUAACACCGUUAAUUGCCUAUUUUAAUCAUUUCUGUUGGUUUUAACAGAGCGUUUAUCUACUUGACCCUGGUUGUAUUCUAUAUCCCCGUUUGGCUGUUUGAAACAAACCUCUAAACUGUAAGAUCAUCUUGUGAACAGUAAACCAUUGUUUCUCUUUAAAAACAUCUCCCCCUGUUCAUUUAACUGCCCCAUACAGCUCUAGAUAAAACAAAUUUGAGACUUUAAACUUGUUUCAUUCAUCUAACAUUUGUUUCAUUGAUAAUACACACAAUUCCAAUUUUAAACCGGUUAUGAAGCGUCCGUCAGUUUAGCUUAACCUUACGUAUAUAUUCGGCAAAAUAUGAACAAAUAAAUAUACCACCAAAUUUUUUUUAAUUUUCACAUUUAAGAGAAAAUCGGAAAAGAUUCUGAUCACUUUUCAAGUGUCCUCCAACCCAGAAGUCGUGACGUCAGAACAUGAACGUUCAUCUCAACAUGGCGGAUUACAGCACUACAUGCGAUAGCCAAAACGAGAAAUCUGAAAGCGAAAUUUCGACUUCAACCGAGCGAUUCCUACCAGGUGACCAUUCUGAUGUAUCGGAGGAAGAAUAAUUGUGUCUGGAGCCUCACAUGUUCGACCCUAAAGUUUAAGAUGAAGAGAAGGCAGUGGACGGACAGCCUACCAAAUCGGUCAAGGAGUGGAGAUUGCACGUCGGGAGAUUAGAUGAAUGGUGUUCCUGUUCUCACUGCCAAUAAUGGAUUAUGCGGGAGAGUGCAUCUGUUGCCAGGAAAUGGGCUUGGUUGUUGCUAAGAUUGAAGAAGCCAGAGAGGAGAUGGAUGGAGAAAUCCCUGGCUGUAUCACAGACCAUCCUGGCAUGGAAGCGGUGUGUCUAAAUGCUUGGACAUUGCAGGUUGCUUGGUCCCAAUACAAGCAACUGCAUAAGCAUAUAGCCUAUAGACAAUUUGUGAGAUGGUGUUGGGACUAUUUAGGCAAAGAUACCAGGGUUGUGAUACCCUCGUGAGCUGUAUAAGGGCCCACUUCCCACCCCCAGGACAAGAAGAUGACUUUACCUUUAGAGGUCACCUGUUAGUAGUUAAUAAAAAAUUCCCAAGCUGAAAGAAUAAAAUUUAAAACAUGCAUGUAAACAAAAUUGUUGUGGUUAUUAUGUAAUAUAAGCAAAUACUAAUAAAAUGAUUUCAUGGUCUUUUCUAAAAUCGACUGAAUGAGAGAUUGAUGGCAUCUUCCUUUGUUGGUCUCACAAAUGAACUUGUCAGUGAUGGGGGCUCUUAUGCUGCAUCAAGUUGCUUAGUUUUUAUUUUCUCCAGCUCUGCUAGCAG
Long non-coding RNA from Fundulus heteroclitus (mummichog), 2519 nucleotides. RefSeq lists it as uncharacterized. The transcript is spliced from 2 exons. The record is from RefSeq and is a predicted model, not a curated record. Lineage: Eukaryota; Metazoa; Chordata; Actinopteri; Cyprinodontiformes; Fundulidae.